CGGGGCGUAGCUCAGCCUGGUAGAGCAUCGGCUUCGGGAGCCGAGUGUCGGAGGUUCAAAUCCUCUCGCCCCGA
This 74-nucleotide transfer RNA is filed under the name Candidatus Calescibacteriota bacterium. RNAcentral's name for it is "Candidatus Calescamantes bacterium (hot springs metagenome) tRNA-Pro". It matches the Rfam family "tRNA". Rfam says of the family: Transfer RNA (tRNA) molecules are approximately 80 nucleotides in length. Their secondary structure includes four short double-helical elements and three loops (D, anti-codon, and T loops). The record is from RNAcentral. Lineage: Bacteria; Candidatus Calescibacteriota.